GAGGCGCCGGUGUACUAAAAAAAAAUGCUAGCGAUAGAUCCUUCAAUCUCAUACAUUCUACGCACGCACCUAUAAAAACAAGUAUAAACUAUCCGUGUCUUGUAGAAGGACGGUCCUGCCGACCAAAGGCUCCAUCAUGCUCAAAGAAAGAAGAAAAGAAAAAAACAAAAAAAGAAAAGAAAGGAGAUAUAUAUUAGAAUAUUUGAUAUAAAAAAAUUUAAACAUCCCUCAAAGGGAUCUAAGGUCUUGGGAAUGGCCUUAGAUACUUGGACCUUGGACUCAUGAGAGGGACACAUGCACCGCUACAAGAAAAUCCUAAAGAAAUACUCUAUGUUGCAUAAUGCCCUAUAAAAUUUGGAUGAUAUCCAACCAUCUAAUCCUAAUGAGACUAUGCCCAAAGUGCAUUUCCUUCUUGCACAUGCAAAGGGGUUCAAAUCACCCAUAGCUAGUUAGAAAUAUACCUCAGACAAGAUGGGACAGUGGAUGUUCUCCCUGAUGGAUUUCUUUUCCACUUCGGUUCUUUUAUAACUUAAUAUAUCUUUUGUAAUAACCCAAUAUCUUAUUCAAAAAAACUAAUCAGAGAAUAUUAUUUUGAUUUUUUGGCAUUAUAUAAGUAUCCAGAAGUUAUACAUAUACAUAGCGAUGUGGGACUAAAUAUAUGCCCGCAUGGAUCCACAUUUCAGAUAUCACCAAGUUAUUAGUAUAUUAUGUUAAGAAUUUAUUUUCAACUAUUUAAGAAUGAAAUUUGAUCUAUCUUGAUAAUUGCUAGUGCACACAUGCUUAAAAGUUUUAAUAUAAAUAUCUAAUUGUAGAUUUUGUCAUUAAAAAAUUUUAUGUAUAUUUGAUUGCUCCAAAAUAUAUGUUGAAAAAUUUUUAUAUUAUUUUUUUUGAAAUUUCUAUUUUUAAAAAAAUGAUGGAAAAGUUUUUUUUGGCUGC
RNAcentral lists this long non-coding RNA (936 nucleotides) under Phoenix dactylifera (date palm). Its description in RNAcentral is "long non-coding RNA (PDAC_LNC004828)". The record is from RNAcentral. Lineage: Eukaryota; Viridiplantae; Streptophyta; Magnoliopsida; Arecales; Arecaceae.